CUUCUACCCCAACCCAACUUCUCUCGACAAGACACGGAUGAGUGAUCUUAGCCAUUUUAUUACACUAUUUUCGUUCUUGUUGGUUGCAGCACAGGACACUGGACGCCAAGUUCACAAACAAGAUGACAUGGAAAGUUAUUUUAGAGCAUCGGCCAGUGUUACAACAAGAUACACUGAGUGUACUGCACGGAUAGAUUUAGUUUGAUAUGCGAGUUAUUACACAACAAUUUCCAUCGAAGUGCAAUGAAGGUUAUAAAAAUGGACUGAAGUAUACACGGUCACCUACAUAGCCACACAUGAAUAUGUUGUUUCAAAGGGAGGCUUGACUCUUCGGUCAGGACGGCGUGGACCGUGUUCAACAUAUGGCAGGCUAUCAACUCGAAGAGCGUCUUGAAGCCCACAUCACUCACCAAGACAACCAUCAAGGUCCACGGCGACCUCCAAUCGAAGAGCAGACAGAGCAACUAGAGAUUCAAGCCGCCUUCAUCACAACCACUUGCAAAUAUAGGCCUGCAUUCUGAGUCUCGCUGGUGUGCGGCAGUCUAGAUAUGUGUGCUGGGAAUAAUGAGCAACAUGAGUGUCAUAUACUUUUUCUAUGCAGGUGUGAACUUUUGUGUUGUCUGAGUCGAUCUUUGUUUGGUCUAUGGCUAUGUGCUAAUGUGUUUUGAUGAAUAAAGGCUACUGCUGGUUUUUACUGCUGUUACGGUGUUGAUUGGUUGAAGCUUGAGCUGCUCUAUUGUCUUCACCUUACAUUGGCUGGUUGAAGCUGAAACUGCUUCAUAUUCUUGCAA
This is a long non-coding RNA of Lolium rigidum, 791 nucleotides long. RefSeq lists it as uncharacterized. The record is from RefSeq and is a predicted model, not a curated record. Lineage: Eukaryota; Viridiplantae; Streptophyta; Magnoliopsida; Poales; Poaceae. The transcript is spliced from 2 exons.